CGCAAGCCUGACGGAGCAAGACCGCGUGCGGGAUGACGGCCUAAUGGUUGUAAACCGCUUUUCUCUGGGAAGAUGAUGACGGUACCAGAGGAAUCAGCCUCGGCUAACUCCGUGCCAGCAGCCGCUGUAAUACGGAGGAGGCAAGCGUUAUCCGGAAUUAUUGGGCGUAAAGCGUCCGUAGGUGGUUAUUCAAGUCUGCUGUCAAAGCGUGGGGCUUAACUCCAUAGAGGCAGUGGAAACUGGAUGACUUGAGUGCGGUAGGGGUCGAGGGAAUUCCCAGUGUAGCGGUGAAAUGCGUAGAUAUUGGGAAGAACACCAGUGGCGAAAGCGCUCGACUGGGCCUGCACUGACACUGAGGGACGAAAGCUAGGGGAGCG
This 377-nucleotide ribosomal RNA is filed under the name uncultured cyanobacterium. RNAcentral's name for it is "bacterial SSU rRNA". It matches the Rfam family "Bacterial small subunit ribosomal RNA", at positions 376 to 770 of the family's 1533-position model. The record is from RNAcentral. Lineage: Bacteria; Bacillati; Cyanobacteriota.